This 256-nucleotide ribosomal RNA is filed under the name uncultured bacterium. RNAcentral's name for it is "partial small subunit ribosomal RNA". It matches the Rfam family "Bacterial small subunit ribosomal RNA", at positions 26 to 286 of the family's 1533-position model. The record is from RNAcentral.
AGGACGAACGCUGGCGGCGUGCUUAACACAUGCAAGUCGAGCGGAAAGGCCCUUCGGGGUACUCGAGCGGCGAACGGGUGAGUAACACGUGAGUAACCUGCCCCUAGCUCUGGGAUAGCUCCGGGAAACCGGGAUUAAAUACCGGAUACGACCACUUUAGACAUCUGUCGUGGUGGAAAGGAUUCCGGCUAGGGAUGGGCUCGCGGCCUAUCAGCUUGUUGGUGGGGUAACGGCCUACCAAGGCGACGACGGGUAG